This 254-nucleotide ribosomal RNA is filed under the name uncultured bacterium. Its description in RNAcentral is "partial 16S ribosomal RNA". It matches the Rfam family "Bacterial small subunit ribosomal RNA", at positions 524 to 776 of the family's 1533-position model. The record is from RNAcentral.
UACGUAGGACCCAAGCGUUAUCCGGAUUGACUGGGCGUAAAGAGUUGCGUAGGUGGUCUAUCAAGCGAGCAGUGAAAUCUUGUGGCUCAACCAUAAGGCUAUUGUUCGAACUGGUAGACUCGAGAAUGGAAGAGGUAUCUGGAAUUCCCAGUGUAGGAGUGAAAUCCGUAGAUAUUGGGAGGAACACCAAUGGCGUAGGCAGGAUACUGGUCCAUUUCUGACACUAAGGCACGAAAGCGUGGGGAGCGAACGGG